RNAcentral lists this ribosomal RNA (492 nucleotides) under uncultured bacterium. RNAcentral describes it as "partial 16S ribosomal RNA". It matches the Rfam family "Bacterial small subunit ribosomal RNA", at positions 29 to 507 of the family's 1533-position model. The record is from RNAcentral.
AGUGAACGCUGGCGGUAGGCCUAACACAUGCAAGUCGAACGGCAGCACAGUAAGAGCUUGCUCUUACGGGUGGCGAGUGGCGGACGGGUGAGGAAUACAUCGGAAUCUACUUUUUCGUGGGGAAUAACGUAGGGAAACUUACGAUAAUACCGCAUACGAUCUACGGGUGGGAGCAGGGGAGAUUCGGGCCUUGCGUGUUUGAAUGAGCCGGUGCCGGGUUAGCUAGUUGGUGGGGUAAAGGCCCACCAAGGCGACGAUCCGUAGCUGGUCUGAGAGGAUGAUCAGCCACACUGGAACUGAGACACGGUCCAGACUCCUACGGGAGGCAGCAGUGGGGAAUAUUGGACAAUGGGCGCAAGCCUGAUCCAGCCAUACCGCGUGGGUGAAGAAGGCCUUCGGGUUGUAAAGCCCUUUUGUUGGGAAAGAAAAUCAGCAGGUUAAUACCCCGCUGUUCUGACGGUACCCAAAGAAUAAGCACCGGCUAACUUCGUG